AUGCAGAACUCGCACCACUACCCCCAUAGCUGGGUGAUACAAUCCCUAGUCCUUUAUCAUUGGAUGAAAAAGGAACGUUCUCGCAUGAAGGCUUCCUCACAAAUCCUUUUUGGAAUGACUUCAACUCAUCACAUCAGAUGCAGAAUUUGUCAACGGAGGCUUCACCAUUCACACCCUUACUUCAAACAGAACCAAAUUCAAUUGUUCAUUCCCAACUUAACACUAAUGGAGUGUUGGAUGAUGGUUCACUCUUUAAGAUGGUCACGAGGGAUGUCUCCGAGGUAA
RNAcentral lists this ribosomal RNA (285 nucleotides) under Triticum aestivum (bread wheat). RNAcentral describes it as "partial small subunit ribosomal RNA". Lineage: Eukaryota; Viridiplantae; Streptophyta; Magnoliopsida; Poales; Poaceae. The record is from RNAcentral.